CUUUGUUCCCUCUUCUGGACGGUUUCGUGUUUGCUUUGAGCACCUGCCAGCGGCCGAGGCAACGUAACGGUGUUUCGCAGGUCUGACCAAGUCACUCAGCUGAAGACCAUGCCAGGGCUGAUUUGGGCUGUUGAAGUGGUAAUGUUCCUGUUUGCUUCUGCUGCAGCUGAGUACAAAACUGGAUCCACAGACGUUGUGUUGCGAGGAACACGCCAAGACACAGCGCUCUCAACUGAGCACUUCUCAGUAACAACCCUUACUGGUGCUGUACUAAAGUGGAAGUGUCAAGGUGAUUCAUCUGUCUGCCACUGCUGACAGCUGUGUUACACGGGGUGCCCUGGGUAGGAGCAUUGUUUGGACUGAAGAAUGGUUGAAGGAUGAGACACGAGAGGACUGAAGAAAGGACGGGCGAUACAAGCGGAGAGCGUAUAGUGCAGGAACAUUCAAACAUUUGCAUGAUUUCUGGAGCUCAUUUUCACUGGAUGCCAGCAGGACAUCAGAAUAGUAGGUACCUUAUAUAAGUCUACCAACGCAAAAGCAUGUAAAGUAUCCUGUUAAAUCUCCAAUAUAUAUGAGGAAUGAUUAGUAGCAAGUUAAAACAUUCUUUCUCUAAAACUUACCAGUUGUUCUACUGACCAUUUGCUCCGUAAUUCCAGCCCAAAAUGUACCAUUUCUUUUACCAUAAGAAAAAUAAAUAAUUUAAGUAAGCAAAUAAUGUAACUAAC
Molecule: long non-coding RNA, 725 nt
Filed under: Struthio camelus australis
Lineage: Eukaryota; Metazoa; Chordata; Aves; Struthioniformes; Struthionidae
Description: lncRNA (ENSSCUG00000004611.1)
Source: RNAcentral